CAUAAUCCUUGUAGUACUGGAUUAGACUUGGAGACAUCAGGAUUAGCAUGGCCCCUGUGCAAGGAUGACACGCAAAUUCGUGAAGCGCUCCAUAUUUUU
This 99-nucleotide small nuclear RNA is filed under the name Physeter macrocephalus (sperm whale). Lineage: Eukaryota; Metazoa; Chordata; Mammalia; Artiodactyla; Physeteridae. The record is from RNAcentral.